UGGAGAUCCUGGGUAUCAAUCCUAGUACCUCUCACAUGCUAAGUGAGCGCUCUACCAUCUGAGCUACAUCCCC
Molecule: non-coding RNA, 73 nt
Organism: Cordylochernes scorpioides
Lineage: Eukaryota; Metazoa; Arthropoda; Arachnida; Pseudoscorpiones; Chernetidae
Source: the annotation of a GenBank genome assembly